UAGUGGUGCGGGAGUGCCGGAAAGGAAGUGAACGAGGCCUGCUCUUUGCGGCAGUGUCGUGCCCGGUGAGCCCGCGCCAUGGCGGACAUGGAGGACCUGUUCGGGAGCGACGUCGAUUCCGAGCCCGAGCAGAAAGAUUCUGACUCUGGAUCUGACUCUGACUCUGAUCAGGAGAAUGCUGGCUCUGGCAGUAAUGUUUCUGGAAGUGAGAGUGACAGAGAUGAUGACAGAGAAGCAAUAAAGCCCAGUAACAAAGAGUUAUUUGGAGAUGAUAGUGAGGAUGAGGGAGCAUCCCACCAUACCGGGAGUGACAUCCGAUCUGAAAGAUCAUACAAUCACUCUGAAGCUUCGGGACAUUCUGAACAUGAAGAUAAUGACCAGUCAGAUAUAGAUCAGCAUAGUGGUUCAGAAGCUGCUGAUGAGGAUGAUGACAGAGGACCUGGAUCAGAUGAAGGUAGCCGUCACUCAGAUGCAGAUGGAUCUGAAAAAGCACAUUCAGAGGAUGAAAAAUGGGGCAAAGAGGACAAAAGUGAUCAGUCUGAUGAUGAUGAUAAGCUGCAGAAUUCUGAUGAUGAGGAAAGGCAGCAAAACUCUGAUGAUGAAGAGAAGGUUCUUCAGAACUCUGAUGAUGAUGAAAGGCCUCCGAUUUCCGAUGAUGAGGAAAGACUACAAAACUCCGAUGAGGAGAAAAUGCAGAACUCAGAUGAUGAAGAGAGGCCUCAGAUCUCUGAUGAGGAGAAGAUGCAGAACUCUGAUGAUGAACAGGCCCAGCAUUCUGAUGAGGAGAAGAUGCAGAAUUCUGAUGAUGAUGAAAGGGCCCAGCAUUCUGAUGAGGAGAAGAUACAGAAUUCUGAUGAUGAUGAUGAAAGGACCCAGCAUUCUGAUGAAGAUCACAGACGUUCAGAUGAUGAAGAGGAACAGGAGCAUAAAUCUGAGUCUGCAAGAGGCAGUGACAGUGAAGAUGAAAUUUUGCGAAUGAAACGUAAAAAACCAAUUGCAUCAGAUUCAGAAAUGGAUAGUGAUGCAGAAGGACAAAAAGAUCACAGGGAUGCAAUAGAUCUGUUUGGAGGUGCAGAUGACAUUUCUUCAGGGAGUGAUGGGGAAGACAAGCCACCAACUCCAGGGCAACCUAUUGAUGAGAAUGGACUGAAUCAGGAGCAGCAGGAAGAAGAACCUAUUCCAGAAACACGAAUAGAAGUAGAGAUACCAAAAGUAAACACUGACUUAGGAAAUGACUUGUAUUUUGUGAAGCUGCCCAACUUCCUCAGCGUGGAGCCCAGACCUUUUGACCCUCAGUAUUAUGAGGAUGAAUUUGAAGACGAGGAAAUGCUUGAUGAAGAAGGUAGAACAAGGUUAAAACUAAAGGUGGAAAACACCAUACGUUGGCGAAUGCGACGAGAUGAAGAGGGAAAUGAGAUUCGAGAAAGCAAUGCACGGAUAGUCAAGUGGUCAGAUGGAAGCAUGUCGCUGCAUUUGGGCAAUGAAGUCUUUGAUGUGUACAAGGCACCAUUACAGGGAGAUCACAACCAUCUGUUUAUCAGACAAGGAACUGGUCUACAGGGACAGGCUGUGUUCAAGACUAAAUUAACCUUCAGGCCUCACUCUACGGACAGCGCCACCCACAGGAAGAUGACUUUGUCUCUUGCAGAUAGAUGUUCAAAGACCCAAAAAAUUCGUAUCUUGCCCAUGGCUGGUCGUGAUCCAGAGUCUCAGCGCACAGAAAUGAUUAAGAAAGAAGAGGAGAGGUUAAGAGCUUCUAUUCGCAGAGAAUCCCAGCAGCGGAGAAUGCGGGAGAAGCAGCACCAGCGUGGUCUGAGUGCAAAUUAUUUAGAACCUGAUCGUUAUGAUGAGGAGGAUGAAGGAGAAGAGGCAAUCAGUCUGGCAGCUAUUAAAAACCGCUAUAAAGGUGGUAUAAGAGAGGAACGUGCUAGAAUCUAUUCUUCAGACAGUGAUGAGGGAUCAGAUGAAGACAGAACGCAGAGACUACUAAAGGCAAAGAAACUAACCAGUGAUGAGGAAGGUGAACCUUCUGGAAAGAGGAAAGCAGAGGAUGAUGACAAAGCAAGUAAAAAGCACAAGAAAUAUGUGAUCAGUGAUGAAGAGGAAGAUGAUGAUUAAAAUUGGGAAAGCUGAUGACUUUUUAUAUAUAUAUAGUACAGUUCUUUUACAGCAAAGAUGAGGAGAUUACUGGGUUCACCCUUCAAGAUGUGUAAAUGUUGCUAACAGUUUGCUUGUGAGAGAAGACCCAAACAGCAAGGUCAUAGAUCAAACCAGCACAUAGAACUGCACCUGGAAACUACUACAGACUAUGAAGCACAGGUGUAGCAUAUCCUCUGCAGUAACUAAGCAAGCAAGUUGCCUCAUUCUGCAUAGUGGUUUUCAGUGGUAGCCCUCCAUCAGGCAUGUUGCUGCAAUCCAGUCUUGAGGCAUGAAUUAACUAUGGGAAAGUAAAAAAUCUGAAAUAAACUAUUCCAUCCAAAUUCAGAUGAAAGAAAGAACUUGAUCAGUUCUGGUAUCUGGGCUUCCAAAAGUGCCUGAGGAACCAACACUGCCUUGUUUGCAAACUUGGAUUUAAAAAUGGAGGAAAAGAUUUUCAUACGUGAUUAGAGAUUUGAAGUGUGUUCUGCUUUUAGGUGCCCAACUUGACACAUCUUUAAAGGACUCUAAUUUUCAGAUGGUGUGACAUAUCCCCAGGAUAUACUCUGGAAGUGUGGGACUGCUGUGCCCCCUGUCUCCAGCCUAGGCUGUCUCUAACAAUGCUGCGCUAGUGACAAGCAGCAAAACUCCUCCAGGUGCUGUGAUUACUGAGUCAACAACUCACAGGGACAUACCCAGCUAAAAUUGCAUGAAUGCUUUAUCAGCCAAUUAUACAGAGAGAGACACCAGCAAAUCUCCCCAGCCUUGCACUCCUGUUUCAAAAUCUUUUCUUGAACAGUGCAAACUCAUUAAUUAGUUCAUCGCUUUGUCAAAGGAAAGUGGACAUGCACCAGCCUUUGUAAUCUGAGCAGAUUCCCCAAGCACUUCAACCAAAAACACACUGUUUUAGAUAAAAUAUAAAAAUAAGUUUAUUAACCACAGAAAGAUAGAUGUCAAGUGAUUAUAAGUGUUAGGCACAGAGGUCAAAGUUGGUUGCAUCAGAAAUAAAAAUAGAAUCACAGUCUAAAUUCUAACUGGCUAAGCAAGUUUUGAAUCAAGCAGUUUUUCUCACCCAAAUAGAUGUUACAGGCAGCUCAGUUCUGAAUACACAGACUGAAUUUUCUUCUGAGCCUGGGACCAAUUUCUCCAAUUCAAAGUCUUUGUCUUCCAAAUGAUUUUCCUGGUGUUGAGAUGGGGGAGGAGAGAGGCCAAGUGGUGAUGUCACUGACCCUCAUUUAUACUUUCUCUCCAUGUACUAGAAAGAUCCUAGCCAGGACAUGGGGGUUAGGUAGCUCCCAUUGUGUACGUGCCCUCUCUGAGGAAUCUCUGGGAGAGUCGAUUCUUCUUGAUGGUCCAUCAACACCUAUCUGGCUAAUCUAGAUAUAAAUCUGUCAUGUCAACCUGUUGCUCCUUUGUUGCCACUGAAAGGCUAGCUGUGGCCAUUUCCCACUUACCACACACUUCUGAAACAAACGUAUUGCAAUACUUCAUAACUUUACUACCCUGUUGAAUGGUCUAUACUGUCAUUGUAUGUGAUGUUCAACAGAUCAAGGCUUUGAUGAUACUUCACAAGGCAUACUUUGUACAAAAUAUCUCGUAAUCCUAUCACAGUGGUGAAUAUGGGGGCUCCAGGUUGCUAUUUUGGGAGACAGACUGUCACAGUGGGUGCUCAGCGCUUUCUGAAAUUGCAUCUGUUUGAGGUGUGGCAAUUUGGGCAUUCAAGAGCUAAUGCACCAAAAGUCACUAGACACGGGAAAAUCCUGAUCUACAUCUUAGUGUGUGCGUGCACACCAAACCCAACUAACUCCUGACAAUCUCUUCUCCAUAUACCUUCUAAUUAUGGAAUUCCCUUUAAUAUAUCCGGACUCACCAGCAAAUGGAUCCACUAAGUACCUGUUGAAGAGUCACAGGCCCCUUGUUUGGAGGCAUGCUGGUGUCUGUACUACAUAGUAUUAACUUCUUUGGCUCAGCACCUGAGAACUGGUGGAGCUCUAUGCAAUGGUUUUGCUGGGUGAUUUAUUACUUUCUUGACAUGCACAAUUGUUAGAGCAUAUAUUGUACCUUGGCUACAGGACUCCAAAGGCAUAUAGAAAGGGGUCUUGUACUACCCAAAGUUGAGAGACAUUGACCAUUACUUUUCACAGCUGAAAAAAUGUUACUGUUGGUGCGAAGGGAAUUAACUGAGUGAGGUGGGAUAGGGAAUCACAAAUAAGUAUCCAGGCCCUACUCAUCUAACUAGAUUAUAGUGUGAUUUCAGAUAUACCGAAAUAUAGUUGUCAAACAAAAGGAUUCUUUUUGGUGAUAUUUCAGGAGCUGAACCCAAAUAGUGUUUUUAUUAAAAUUAGACUUUUUCAGUCAUUUGUUAACAAAAAAGCUGCAGAAAACAAACUGAAAAGCCUGAACUCUCAACAAAAGAUAUUAGCACAUUUAGCAAUUCUAUUUUAAGGUGAGGGAAGAUGAAAUAAACCAACAAUGAAAAAUGAAAUGAGUGCAAACAAUGAUCUGUGCCCAUGUGUGUAAGUGCACACGUGAUCUGUGCACUUUCACCCUACUGGAACUAUUAAGUUGUGUGCAUUACCUAUCUCAAUAGCCUCAUAACCUUACUUUUGUAUCUUUGUCCUCUUCUCCUACCCCCUCCCAGCUCUGUUUCCUUCCCAGUGUCUUUUUCUGUCAGUGCAUUUUGUCUAAAAGCUAGAUUGUAAACUCUUUACUGACCAAAACUUGUGACUUGAUCGUGUUUUGCUGGCCUAUUUGAAAUGUGUUUCUAGGUCUGACUCAAAUCCGUAAUGGACAAGUGUCCCUCUCACAAAACCACUCACAACAACUGACAUUUACUAGCAGCACUGUUGGCAUGACAAAAAUUGAGUGGGCAUACAGGCAGCUCUGACUCUCUUUCUCCCCCAUUGAGAUUAUAUCUCCAGGGCAAAGUGGAGGCACAUGACUGGAAUAGUAGAGAAAGCUGCAUUGCAACUGUCCAUACUGAACCUGUUUUUGCGGUUAAAUACAGGCCAGCACUCUCCAAGACUGUUGUGGGCACUAGAUCCCUCAUUUCACAAAGCAAUGAAAGUUAAGCUCUGUCAAGGACAGUUUGGCUAUAUAAAGGCAUGAGAUCUAGAAGAUAAUCAUGCUGGAGAAGGGUAAGCUAUGUGAACACUCAGGGGAAUUGAGGGUGAACAUGGUGGAAGGCCUCCUAUACAUAAACUUACACAUGGAUAAUCUGGUGUGGUAAGGUGGCAAGCUGGCAAGAUAGCAUUAGUUGUCAGUCUUGGUUUGCUUGACCAUUUAAAUAGCUAACCUUUUUGUAAUAAUGAAUCUCUUUUUGCAGAUUCCAAAGCCAGAAAAGACCAUUGUGAUCAGCUAGUCUGACAUCCUGUGUAUAACACAGGUCACAAAACUUCCCCAAAAUAAUUCCUAGAGUAGAUCUUUUGGAAAAAUGCCAAUCUUCUUUUUAAAAUGGCCGAUGGAUAAAGAAUCUACUAUGACUCUUAAUAAAUUGUUCCAGUGCCUAAUUA
RNA transcript from Gopherus evgoodei (Goodes thornscrub tortoise), 5648 nucleotides. It is a transcript of the gene named LEO1 homolog, Paf1/RNA polymerase II complex component, with no coding region annotated. NCBI's taxonomy places the organism in Eukaryota, Metazoa, Chordata, Testudines, Testudinidae. The record is from RefSeq and is a predicted model, not a curated record. The transcript has 14 exons.